Molecule: ribosomal RNA, 492 nt
Filed under: uncultured bacterium
Lineage: Bacteria
Description: partial 16S ribosomal RNA
Rfam family: Bacterial small subunit ribosomal RNA
Source: RNAcentral
AGCGAACGCUGGCGGUAGGCCUAACACAUGCAAGUCGAACGGCAGCACAGUAAGAGCUUGCUCUUACGGGUGGCGAGUGGCGGACGGGUGAGGAAUACAUCGGAAUCUACUUUUUCGUGGGGGAUAACGUAGGGAAACUUACGCUAAUACCGCAUACGACCUACGGGUGAAAGCAGGGGAUUUUCGGACCUUGUGCGAUUGAAUGAGCCGAUGUCGGAUUAGCUAGUUGGCGGGGUAAAGGCCCACCAAGGCGACGAUCCGUAGCUGGUCUGAGAGGAUGAUCAGCCACACUGGAACUGAGGCACGGUCCAGACUCCUACGGGAGGCAGCAGUGGGGAAUAUUGGACAAUGGGCGCAAGCCGGAUCCAGCCAUACCGCGUGGGUGAAGAAGGCCUUCGGGUUGUAGAGCCCUUUUGUUGGGAAAGAAGAGCAGCAGGUUAAUACCCCGCUGUUCUGACGGUACCCAAAGAAUAAGCACCGGCUAACUUCGUG